GGAGCAGUCGGGGAAAGGGUGCGUGCACAGGGUAUAGCUGACUGGCACUGCAAUGUAUACGGCUAAAAAAGAAAAAAGGCAACAGUUUUCAUCCGAGGACAACAUGGCUUUGACAGCACGGUAAAACGACUCUUUGCAGUGUGGGUGUGAUGACUCCGGAUACAGCAGCUUAUUGCGACUGACAGGCACACAAGGGUGAGUCUGGGACUAUUCCGGAUACAGUAACACAUGGCGGAACUCGCGCUGUAUAACACCAAAAGGUAUCGGAUGAGGGAGCUCGGAUCACUCCCGGACGCCAGAAUUAUCAAUUGUCUUAUUGGAUACUACGAUAGUCAAGCAAUCCACUUAUUAACACAUUUCCAUUCAGUACUAUUAGAUUAUUUUCAAGUUCAACAUUUUUGCUAUGUACUUUUGAAUAAAACUUAUUUUAAGACUAAGCGCUUGGGAAUGCCUUUUGAUUUUGUCUUGUACACUCGCCCACAGAGCCCAAGCCGUUGGAUAACCCUAACCCUGAACUCAAGAGAGAACAAAUCAACCUGACGAUUUAAUAAGCAUUGGUUUGAGCGCUGAUAUUGUCAAAGGCUGGAUUAUAUCAGGCAAUGUUUUAUAUGACCGUCAUGCAAAACAAACACCACCAAGAACAACCACCAAAAAACAAAACAAAACAAAACAAAACAACAAAACAAAACAAAAAACAAACCAUAGUAUAUAGUGGACAACUGGCUAAGAAAGUCUUUACGGAAGGACAGCGAUCCGGUGACGUCACACAGCAUGUCAACGGUUUUGAUGAAUUGUGUGGGUUUUACAUAUUUCUUUUUAUAUCACUCGUUUUUUUUUGAAGUUGUGAAGACAAAUAUUAAAGAGAUAAAGAUUUUGAUUCAGUGUGCGCGGUGCCCUUUGUUUUUGAUAUACACACGCCAAUAAAACCAAUAAGACACUCAUUACCACUGCAUUAUAUUAGCUUUCGAAUAAAUUUUAAAUUGACUUGGGUAAACAGAUUUGUUGACAUAUCCAUUGGGAUUUUAGAUAUUUUGAUUUCGUCACCCUGACGAUACCUCAUCCUUCCCUUAAACGUUUAAACAUUUAAUCUCUCCAUGAUUGUUUCCCCAAACUUCCUUAGCUAAAAGAUGUUCAGAAAGAGUACGUAGGAGCAUGCGUGCAGCAGAUGCUGUGUGCCUUGUGUGUGUGUGUUUGUCCAUUGGCAUAUAGCUAGUUUUACAGUAAUAUCAUAAGGAGUUAAUAAAUAUUAUAGAUUAUUGUAUUAGCAUUUUAUUAAAUGCUGUUAUUUAACAUGUGUGCAUUGUCUAGUCGUCACUCAUUUCAGCACAUUUUGUGUAGGUGUUGAUGUGAUGCACACUGUUACGUAGUUCCCGGUACGAACCAGUGCUGUAUAUUAAAUUAUUACUGGUGUUUGCUAUGUCACCAGUGUUCUCUGAUACAUAAUAAUAAAUAAUUAGAGAUUUAUAUAGUGUAGGAUCACGGUCAUAUAGGAGCGCGCGCAAAGCGUUUGGCACAAACACGAGUAUAGGACAUGAUGGAGCGGCGACUGGUAAGGAUGAAGGACGAAAGACAGUUAUGGCACAGAGGACAGAGUGCAUAAGCUAAAAUGUAACCAACAAAAGGAUAUCAGCAGGACAUACUAAUCAAGAACUAGAGAUAAAGAGAAAGACGGAGAAGGAGGAGUAAGUGGAGUGUGUUUAGGAGUGCUCACUUACAAGAAGUGUUUUUAACACCUCAACAGUAGGCGGCGGAUAUAAAAGGGAAGUAAGUUCUACUGCUCGCUGCACCAUGGGUAGCAAGUUGGUGACCCUACCUUACUCUUUUGGCGACAGGUGUAGACCGUGCGCUGGUCAGACGAAUAGCAACCUUUUCAGUUGGGAUUGGUGGGAUAGAGGGGGAGGGAGAAGUUCGGAGUGCGUUGAAAGAGUAAAGCACAGACAACUUACUGAAUGCGAGCAUUAACACAGACAGCGAGUGACAAGAAAGAAGGACAGUGACAUGAUUCCAGUCCUUGUUUUGAGCAUCAGACGCCCAGCAGAGUUCUGUAUGUUGUGAAAGUGGUGAACGAGGUCUGCAGGGCAGUCCGGUGUGCGAGGUCACUACUGUUGUGUGCUAAAUUAUUCAUGUUGCAUGCUGUUAUUUUUACUAAAUCAUUGGGCCUGUAUGCUAAACUAGCAGUCUUGUCUGCUCAGUUAUCACUUGUGUCUGCAAUGUUGUGUGAAGAAUUCUUUGUGUCACUGCCAUUGAUUACAGUGACGACACUGUUUGUGAGGUUUUCCGAUUCAGCAAGCAGCAUCUUCUGUCUGAAGCUGUGAACAUUUUAAUGGGAAACAACAUUUUUUCCUUCAUGUGAAGCGCAGGACUGAAGAGCAGCCAUGGCAGCAAGACAUGAACACAACAAUGGAUAUGUCCUCGAGACAUCAACAGGCAGUUAAAACACCGCAAAAAUAUUGAUAAAACGGAAGGCAGACACUAACAAGAUAUUUGAACUCUGCAAGAUACCACCAGGACUUCAAUAAGGUACGUAUCCCGGGGGUUGAAUGGAGUCAGAAACCACGAGAGGGCACUAUACUGAACGAUGAGAUCUGAUGCUCACAGAAGCAGUCUGUGUGAAAUGCUCGUCACACAGCCGGUCACACAGCCGGUCACACAGCCCCACGUUUGACACUCCAUGUGCUCACUGGCUGUGAGCUGUGGCUCCUGUGGACUUUACCGCCCUCACAGACUGGAGUCACAAACAACAGUUCACUCCUGACCGCCAGGACACAGCUACCAUUCAUCUGCAUCAGACACUGACCACAGGGUGCUGAGGCCGGAGUGACUGGCUCAUUCUCGGCGUUACGAUAAUCCUGCAUCUGUCCCCUCGCCCUGCAUCGAGAGGGGAAGGAAGGGAGGUUCUGGUCACAUGGCCCCCUGUCCCACACCUCUCCAUCCACCGGCGACAUUGGACAGCGAGGGCUGGGGGUCGCAGGGGGUUUGAGAGCUGCAUGUUAAAACAAUAUUGAACGUGACAAAUAGAAGACACUUUGACUUCAGUGGCUGGGCAGGAAGAAGAAAGAAAGUGGGAAAAUGAGACCUAAAGAGUUCGACAACCAGUCACUCGACAUAGGACAUGAAGACAUAGCUGGCCUGCCAGGCUCAGACAAAUCGUAUGCAAGCCACCCUUUAGCAAGGCAACUGGUCCGUCACCCCGCUGCAGGCACGCCGGAGACGGUGUUUGAGGAGCAUAGUACUGACUAAUGGUUAAAUGGCAGAGUGCAGGGUAAUGGACGUUGUCCUACUAAAAAAGAAAAUAAAUGGAUGAUGAUCAGAGUGUCAGGUGAUAAAGGAAGUCUCGCCCUGCUGCUUAUGAAAACAUCCAGACCCUCUUAUGUCUGAGGACAAGAGAGCUGAGAGAAGACAUACGUUCUGGCGUUUUUUAGUAACGCUUCGUCAUUGGCUACAGACGUUUCGUGUGCAUGCUGUAGCACAUGAACGAUUGCCUACGCAACGGCAGGUGUGCCAAGUGUAUCGUCCGAUUGCCGAGCCACCCAGCAGCUGCCUCUGGCCCUUCACCUGGUUUUGGGGCUUGCCGUCCUGCUGCAGGCAGAUGUUUGGAGUCAUCUUUUUUGGUAAACCAUUGGUCUCUUAGUCUUGAAAGAAAAUCAGCGUGGACGUGUUUCAGGAUGCAACCAAAAAAGCAAACCUCGCUUCCCUCCGCUUUCCCUCCCGCUCCCUCCCUGGCCCCCAGUUUUUUUUAUCAUUGUGCGUGAGCCUGCAAACAGACAGACAGACAGAGCCCGGGCAGGCUUUAUGACCAGCCCGCCAAACACCACGCCAGGCGCUGAAGGACAUGCUCGAAAGCAAAAGUCUGUACGAGGAGAGGCCGGGGAGGGGAAUGACGAAAACAAAGAUGUCUGCACCAGAAGGGAAUUGGGUGUAAUUACAAACUGCUUCGACGCGUGAAACUGAUCAAAUUCGCCACACAACCUUUUGUUUCUUCAACCUUGAGAAGAUCAGAGCCGUGCGCGGAGCGGAAGUGGCGCUAUCGUCACGUGACAGACAUCCUUGGUGGCACGCACCGGCACCGGCAGCUGAUGGGUACAAAGGCGCCGCCGUGAGGGUUGAGAGACACCCGGAUGGUCUGCUCCCUCAUCCUCUACUGAACAUAUAAAUCAUUGGUAAAGGCACCUCUUCCAAACAACAAGAGCCUCAUUUGGGUCUUUAUUAUUUCCAAAGCUUAGCUCUUUCUUUGAUAAAGAUUCCAUCUUACUGACAAUAGGGGGUAGCCGGGGGCCGGUUGGUCAGUCGUGCUAGGUGGACGCCAACGUCUAGCAGCCAGCUAAACUACUCAUAUCUGAGGAGCAGUUUAGCUGACUGUUGCCGUAGCAUCUAGCUAGAGGCACCCGAGUCCAGACAACUAGUGAGAACAGUCUUCAAACGCAUUCUGUCUCAUGGUCAGUGAAGUAUAGUCCAUAUACGCGUUCUGGGAGUCAGCAAUAAUAGUGUCCAGCAUGCAUCUGUUUUUCCUAGAGACUGUCUCAGACUAUCAACGGUUUGAUAAUACAUUAUCGUUCAUACUUUAUGUGGUUCAGCACGUAAGUGCACACACACACACACUUAUAGACACGCACUCACAAAUACACUUUUUCAUUUUGUUGACAAAUGGAAGAAAAUACAUCAACGUCUGAUUAUUUUACAGCUGCUGCAUUCAGCUGUUAUUGAUGUUCCUAAAUCGUUAAACUAAGGAUUCUAACAAAUAAAAGCGAUUGUUGUACAGGAAGCUGAGGAUUUGCCUUUUCGUGUGAUUAAUAA
This is a long non-coding RNA of Pomacea canaliculata, 4794 nucleotides long. RefSeq lists it as uncharacterized. The record is from RefSeq and is a predicted model, not a curated record. The transcript is spliced from 6 exons. Lineage: Eukaryota; Metazoa; Mollusca; Gastropoda; Architaenioglossa; Ampullariidae.